Mycena crocata is the source of this 94-nucleotide non-coding RNA. NCBI's taxonomy places the organism in Eukaryota, Fungi, Basidiomycota, Agaricomycetes, Agaricales, Mycenaceae. The record is from the annotation of a GenBank genome assembly.
GGCCUGGUGGUGUAAUGGUAUCACGUCUUUGUCUCUUGACCCAGGAGUGUUAGAAUUUAAGAAGAUGAACCCCGUUCGAUUCGGGGCUGGGCCU